GAUGAAGAACGUAUCGAAAUGCGAUAAGUAAUGUGAAUUGCAGAAUUCAGUGAAUCAUCGAAUCUUUGAACGCACAUUGCGCCCCUUGGUAUUCCGAGGGGCAUGCCUGUUCGAGCGUCAUUAUAACCCCUCAAGCUCAGCUUGGUGUUGGGGCCUGCCGCACGGGCAGCCCUUAAAAUCAGUGGCGGUGCCAUCUGGCUCUAAGCGUAGUAAUUCUUCUCGCUAUAGAGUUCCGGUGGAUGCUUGCCAUUAACCCCCAAUUUUCUAUGGUUGACCUCGGAUCAGGUAGGGAUACCCGCUGAACUUAAGCAUAUCAAUAAGCGGAGGA
Molecule: unclassified non-coding RNA, 328 nt
Filed under: soil metagenome
Description: partial contains 5.8S ribosomal RNA, internal transcribed spacer 2, and large subunit ribosomal RNA
Rfam family: 5.8S ribosomal RNA (bases 1-120)
Source: RNAcentral